RNAcentral lists this ribosomal RNA (455 nucleotides) under uncultured bacterium. RNAcentral describes it as "bacterial SSU rRNA". It matches the Rfam family "Bacterial small subunit ribosomal RNA", at positions 19 to 518 of the family's 1533-position model. The record is from RNAcentral.
CUGGCUCAGAGCGAACGCUGGCGGCAGGCCUAACACAUGCAAGUCGAGCGCCCGUAGCAAUACGGGAGCGGCAGACGGGAGAGUAACACGUGGGAACGCGCCCUUCGGUUCGGAAUAACUCAGGGAAACUUGAGCUAAUACCGGAUACGCCCUUACGGGGAAAGAUUUAUUGCCGAAGGAACGGCCCGCGUCCGAUUAGCUUGUUGGUGAGGUAAUGGCUCACCAAGGCGACGAUCGGUAGCUGGUCUGAGAGGAUGACCAGCCUCACUGGGACUGAGACACGGCCCAGACUCCUACGGGAGGCAGCAGUGGGGAAUAUUGGACAAUGGGCGCAAGCCUGAUCCAGCCAUGCCGCGUGGAUGAUGAAGGCCCUAGGGUUGUAAAGUCCUUUCGGCGGGGAAGAUAAUGACGGUACCCGCAGAAGAAGCCCCGGCUAACUUCGUGCCAGCCGCCGC